CCUACGGGUGGCUGCAGUGGGGAAUAUUGGGCAAUGGGCGCAAGCCUGACCCAGCAACGCCGCGUGAAGGAAGAAGGCUUUCGGGUCGUAAACUUCUUUUGUCAGGGACGAAGCAAGUGACGGUACCUGACGAAUAAGCCACGGCUAACUACGUGCCAGCAGCCGCGGUAAUACGUAGGGGGCAAGCGUUAUCCGGAUUUAAUGGGUGUAAAGGGCGUGUAGGCGGGGAGGCGAGUCGGAUGUGAAAACGACGGGCUCAACCUGUGGCCUGCAUUGGACACUGUGUUGCUUGAGUGCAGGAGAGGCAAGCGGAAUUCCGUGUGUAGCGGUGAAAUGCGUAGAUAUUAGGAGGAACACCAGUGGCGAAGGCGGAUUGCUGGACAGUAACUGACGCUGAGGCACGAAAGCGUGGGGAGCAAACAGGAUUAGAUACCCCAGUAGUC
RNAcentral lists this ribosomal RNA (443 nucleotides) under uncultured bacterium. RNAcentral's name for it is "partial 16S ribosomal RNA". It matches the Rfam family "Bacterial small subunit ribosomal RNA", at positions 338 to 795 of the family's 1533-position model. The record is from RNAcentral.